UUGUACCUUUCAAAGUUCGCUUUGCAAUAGCGGCUACUUAUUUUAUUUAUUUAAUUUUUUACUUUAAGAACCUAAUUUCCUGUGCUCCGAGGGCGAAUGUCCAAGGGCGGAUUUAGGUUUUGUAGGGGGAGGGGAAGAGUAGCCAAAUGGGAAGGGGGGUUAUUUCUAUUUCCAUCCACAUCACAAAUGUGAUAGCCCAAUAAAAGACCUUUAAACUUUCGAACUUCCCCUCUCCCGCAGAUAAACAAGGGUGUCCAUAAAUAGGCAACAUCAUAUCCGGAAUCUAUCUGAAUGGCGCCGAUUGUAGGGUCAAAUAGUGUAGCUACGUCAACCUAUUUUAUUCAGCGUCUACCAAGAGAACCAUAGCUCAUCAUACAGAAAAAUAAAGCUCAGUGCUGUAUUCAAGACCAAGAGAAAAUAGACUAAAUGUGCUUUUAUUUGCCUAAGGAUUUUUAAUCUGAAAAGUGUUUCUGCUGAAUCAAUUAAACAUUGUUUUUAAAUCGACCAAUUCAUUUUAAAAAGUUAGAUAGGAAAUCUAAGAGUACGCGGUAUUUCGAAAAUAGAUCCUGUCAGUAUCUCCGGAUCCAGGAAUAUCCCCUACAAUAGUUUACAGCCUUUAGAUCCUUUUGACAGCCAGCCAAUGAGCAUCAGAAACUUUCAAAUGCGUGCCUUCAGGCAUGGCCCACAAAGCAAUGUCAUGUUUAAGAAUGAUUUUUAAAAGAUAACUUUGGCUUUUAAAAGCAGCUGAAACCCCAAAUAGGAAUCCUUUUCACCUGUCAUGCUGUCAAAGAAGUUAAACCGAUUCCCCAAAGAACGGAUGUAUUAGAAGCUGUAUUAAAAUUUGUUCUUUCAAAAAGUUGUUGGUUUUGAUGAUUAAAGUAAAACACCCAUGGUAACCCAGUUGGGUUGUUGAAAGAGUAUAAUAAAUGUAUAUAACACCUAGAGGUUCGCAGGGAAACUGGAGGCUUUACAUCCAAUUAAUUUGGAAUUAAUACAAUUUUAGUCCAACGAACAAGCAGUGUUUUUCUACUGUUAUCUUCGUUAGAAAAAAAUUAAUUCAGGAUAUUUAUUUUAACCAGAUUUGUGACGUAUUUAGGUUCGCUCAUCCCAACUCUGUUAGAUCAUUCUACACUCGCCGUUAACCUGGGCUACCUGUGUUGGACCGUGAAACUUCCCUAUUUAACAAAGAAUAAUUAGUUCGCAUGAGCGAGUGGGAGUGAUUCGCCAAAAAGAUCUAUUCUCGGAAGCUUGUUACCGGGAAGCAGGAAGCCCUUACGCCUGUUACAGCGCUUGUUAAAAUCCCGCAUUCAUCGGGAUAAUGCGUUACAAAUAUCGGCUUACCAAAAUGAUUGAUUGAACAAUGUCCUAUUAAAAGCUUGAGAUGGUAUAAAAGGCCUACAAUACUUGUUAAGUACGAUCUUUCAUUAUAAGAGGACGCAGUAGAUUUGUUCUUUUCAGAGAAGAUGAAGGGAGUUUUGCUUAUAGCAGUGUUCCUGGCUGUCACUAUGGUUUCUUUCAAAGAAGUCGCCAGUAUUCACGUACUGUGGCCCCCCUUCACCAAGAGGCAGGCGAGCACGGUAGAAGUGGAAUCAAGGAACGCUAUUUGUUGGCUGGCAAGAAGACUGGAAUGUGCAGAACCCAUGCGUGUUAGUGUCGAGAGAAGGAGAUAACUGGAAUACAGGAAAAAAAGCACACGCCGGAAAAGAGACUGUUAGCUUUACUCCAAUUUUCAUGCAAUUGAAAUUUGGAAUAAAAUGGAAAUCAGCUUAAAAUAAUCUCUGUAGUAUUUCUUAUGGGUAAGAUAUCAAACAUCCGUCAAAAACAAAACGAAAAAAUAAACGAAAAGAAAAAACAGAAUAAAGUAACGGAUACAAAAAAAA
This is a long non-coding RNA of Nematostella vectensis (starlet sea anemone), 1880 nucleotides long. RefSeq lists it as uncharacterized. The record is from RefSeq and is a predicted model, not a curated record. Lineage: Eukaryota; Metazoa; Cnidaria; Anthozoa; Actiniaria; Edwardsiidae. The transcript has 2 exons.